Non-coding RNA from Pelobates cultripes (western spadefoot toad), 305 nucleotides. NCBI's taxonomy places the organism in Eukaryota, Metazoa, Chordata, Amphibia, Anura, Pelobatidae. The record is from the annotation of a GenBank genome assembly.
GUUUAUACUAAGUCGUAAGUGUACAGUCGUGGGAGAUUCCCGGAUUUGGGGAAGUUCCAUUAACUUGGGGUUACCACAGUAUAUUGUGUACUGCAAGAGUCGUAGCAUAGCCUUGAAGCUUGUUUAUGCAUUAUUGUUAUUGUAAUUCGUCUGGGACAAAAUGGAGCAAACAUAUUAUGCACUGAGGUUAUUGCUUAAAGAAACAGUUAUGAAAAACAAUAUGUUCCAUUUCUAACACCUUGUCAGUUUGCAAUAUCUCUUAAAGACAAAGUACACAGUUUAAGAAAUACAACAUUUCAUUCUAA